GCAAGGUUAAAACUCAAAUGAAUUGACGGGGGCCCGCACAAGCGGUGGAGCAUGUGGUUUAAUUCGAUGCAACGCGAAGAACCUUACCUGGUCUUGACAUCCACGGAAGUUUUCAGAGAUGAGAAUGUGCCUUCGGGAACCGUGAGACAGGUGCUGCAUGGCUGUCGUCAGCUCGUGUUGUGAAAUGUUGGGUUAAGUCCCGCAACGAGCGCAACCCUUAUCCUUUGUUGCCAGCGGUCCGGCCGGGAACUCAAAGGAGACUGCCAGUGAUAAACUGGAGGAAGGUGGGGAUGACGUCAAGUCAUCAUGGCCCUUACGACCAGGGCUACACACGUGCUACAAUGGCGCAUACAAAGAGAAGCGACCUCGCGAGAGCAAGCGGACCUCAUAAAGUGCGUCGUAGUCCGGAUUGGAGUCUGCAACUCGACUCCAUGAAGUCGGAAUCGCUAGUAAUCGUGGAUCAGAAUGCCACGGUGAAUACGUUCCCGGGCCUUGUACACACCGCCCGUCACACCAUGGGAGUGGGUUGCAAAAGAAGUAGGUAGCUUAACCUUCGGGAGGGCGCUUACCACUUUGUGAUUCAUGACUGGGGUGAAGUCGUAACAAGGUAACCGUAGGGGAACCUGCGGUUGGAUCACCUCCU
Molecule: ribosomal RNA, 643 nt
Filed under: Escherichia coli
Lineage: Bacteria; Pseudomonadati; Pseudomonadota; Gammaproteobacteria; Enterobacterales; Enterobacteriaceae
Description: bacterial SSU rRNA
Rfam family: Bacterial small subunit ribosomal RNA
Source: RNAcentral